Long non-coding RNA from Mus musculus (house mouse), 1127 nucleotides. RefSeq annotates it as predicted gene, 32770. Lineage: Eukaryota; Metazoa; Chordata; Mammalia; Rodentia; Muridae. The transcript is spliced from 4 exons. The record is from RefSeq and is a predicted model, not a curated record.
GUGUGUGUGUGUGUGUGUGUGUGUGUGUGUGUGUGUGUGUGUGUGUAUGAGAGAGAGAGAGAGAGAGAGAGAGAGAGAGAGAGAGAGAGAUUCUUUCCCCCAGCUAGCAGUUUCAAAUUUUAAUUAAAAGAUCCGCUAUGGAGGUUGCUUUUUAUAAGACGUUAUGGAGAAUCCCUGAUCUGGUCAACCUCAGAUAGAGACCCAGACACGAAGGCAAUGCAUUUGCAGUGACCCUAGAUCUUGCCUGCGGAACAGCCCAGUUGUACGUCUUGACUUGGUCCAAGGAGUGCAGCAUCCUGGUACCUGCCUCCUUCUCAGCCAGCUGGAACCAGUAGAACGCCGCCUGGUCUGCUCCAGGCCUUAUUUGCUGCAUUUAGAGGCACAGUGCCAUCUAGUGGACAGAAAAGCCUCUUCAUGCUCUGAGGAACACCUAGAGACAGAAACUGUUCUCUCGAAUUCCACAGAGCCAGCCAGUGCCUGCAACUGACUUACAGAACCUCUUGGCCCAGUCUUGGUUCAGGGUUUUUGGGACCAUGCCACAGAGAGCAGUGGCUGGGCUUUCCCGUUACUUUUGGACCAUCAUCCCAGCAAGAAGGAUGGAUGGAUCCGUCUUGCCUGAAGCUUGACGCCUCACAGAGUCUACAGGUCAGAAUAUGAGUACAAAGAGGCUGUGUGUGAAAGUAUAACAACAUAAAAACAGAAUUCUAGGCCUUUAGGCCCAGGCUUGGAAAUGUGGCCUUUGUAAAGGUAUGCUAAUCAUAAAACAGAUAGCAACAUUCCUCCACCCACCCGCUUCCUGGGUUCAAAGAGUGCUCAUUCAAAGAAAGUCACCCAGAACCUGCAAUGCAAAUGUGCUAUUGUUAGGGACUCUUAAAAGCUGUCUUGAGAGUUAACAAUUACCAGGUAUUCCUUGUGACUCUUGUAACUUUACACUUCCUUGUGACUCUUAACUGGUAUCUUUGGUAUCUUCCAACAUCGCCCUCCCCACUUCCUUAAGUUGUGGUUUCUUCCUUUAAAUACCCCCUUACCCAGCUACUCGGGGCGCCACGGUCCUCUACCCCUGCGUGGUGUAUGACCAUGGGCCUGAGAGCGCUCUUGAAUAAAAAUCCUCUUGCAAUUUGCAGCAA